UGGGGAAUUUUGUACAAUGGGGGAAACCCUGAUCAAGCCAUCCCGCGUGUGCGAUGAAGGCCUUCGGGUUGUAAAGCACUUUUGGCAGGAAAGAAACGUCAUGGGUUAAUACCCCGUGAAACUGACGGUACCUGCAGAAUAAGCACCGGCUAACUACGUGCCAGCAGCCGCGGUAAUACGUAGGGUGCAAGCGUUAAUCGGAAUUACUGGGCGUAAAGCGUGCGCAGGCGGUUCGGAAAGAAAGAUGUGAAAUCCCAGAGCUCAACUUUGGAACUGCAUUUUUAACUACCGGGCUAGAGUGUGUCAGAGGGAGGUGGAAUUCCGCGUGUAGCAGUGAAAUGCGUAGAUAUGCGGAGGAACACCGAUGGCGAAGGCAGCCUCCUGGGAUAACACUGACGCUCAUGCACGAAAGCGUGGGGAGCAAACAGG
RNAcentral lists this ribosomal RNA (429 nucleotides) under Acidobacteriota bacterium. Its description in RNAcentral is "Acidobacteria bacterium partial 16S ribosomal RNA". It matches the Rfam family "Bacterial small subunit ribosomal RNA", at positions 355 to 776 of the family's 1533-position model. Lineage: Bacteria; Pseudomonadati; Acidobacteriota. The record is from RNAcentral.